CNAUUUUUUGGUUGCAUGAUCGGGCAAGGAAAUAUUUAUAGCUGUAAGAUAGGCAUGCGUCCCAUUAGCUGGUUGGUGAGGUAACGGCUCACCAAGGCAACGAUGGGUAGGGGAACUGAGAGGUUUAUCCCCCACACUGGUACUGAGACACGGACCAGACUCCUACGGGAGGCAGCAGUGAGGAAUAUUGGUCAAUGGGCGAGAGCCUGAACCAGCCAAGUCGCGUGAAGGAAGACUGUCCUAAGGAUUGUAAACUUCUUUUAUACGGGAAUAACGGGCGAUACGUGUAUUGCUGUGAAUGUACCGUAAGAAUAAGC
Molecule: ribosomal RNA, 317 nt
Filed under: Porphyromonas gulae
Lineage: Bacteria; Pseudomonadati; Bacteroidota; Bacteroidia; Bacteroidales; Porphyromonadaceae
Description: bacterial SSU rRNA
Rfam family: Bacterial small subunit ribosomal RNA
Source: RNAcentral